AACGCACAUUGCGCCCUCUGGUAUUCCGGGGGGCAUGCCUGUUCGAGCGUCAUUAUAACCACUCAAGCUCUCGCUUGGUAUUGGGGUUCGCGGUUUCGCGGCCUCUAAACUCAGUGGCGGUGCCUGUCGGCUCUACGCGUAGUAAUACUCCUCGCGAUUGAGUCCGGUAGGUUUACUUGCCAACAACCCCCAAUUUUUUACAGGUUGACCUCGGAUCAGGUAGGGAUACCCGCUGAACUUAA
Molecule: unclassified non-coding RNA, 242 nt
Filed under: uncultured Helgardia
Lineage: Eukaryota; Fungi; Ascomycota; Leotiomycetes; Helotiales; Dermateaceae
Description: sequence contains ITS2
Rfam family: 5.8S ribosomal RNA (bases 1-52)
Source: RNAcentral